CAAGCAUGAGGAGGGUAGGAAACAGAGCACAAAGAACAGAACCUGGAGAGUUGGACUGACUCCAAUACUGGCCUAAUAACUGGCAGCGGGAUGCACAUGAUGGGGAAGUCAACGCUGUGCAGUUCAGUCCAGGUUCCCGGUUACUGGCCACCGGAGGCAUGGACCGCAGGGUUAAGCUUUGGGAAGUAUUUGGAGAAAAAUGUGAGUUCAAGGGUUCCCUAUCUGGCAGUAAUGCAGGAAUUACAAGCAUUGAAUUUGAUAGUGCUGGAUCUUACCUCUUAGCAGCUUCAAAUGAUUUUGCAAGCCGAAUCUGGACUGUGGAUGAUUAUCGAUUACGGCACACACUCACGGGACACAGUGGGAAAGUGCUGUCUGCUAAGUUCCUGCUGGACAAUGCGCGGAUUGUCUCAGGAAGUCACGACCGGACUCUCAAACUCUGGGAUCUACGCAGCAAAGUCUGCAUAAAGACAGUGUUUGCAGGAUCCAGUUGCAAUGAUAUUGUCUGCACAGAGCAAUGUGUAAUGAGUGGACAUUUUGACAAGAAAAUUCGUUUCUGGGAC
RNAcentral lists this small RNA (560 nucleotides) under Pan troglodytes (chimpanzee). RNAcentral's name for it is "processed transcript". The record is from RNAcentral. Lineage: Eukaryota; Metazoa; Chordata; Mammalia; Primates; Hominidae.